This 121-nucleotide ribosomal RNA is filed under the name Mus caroli (Ryukyu mouse). The record is from RNAcentral. Lineage: Eukaryota; Metazoa; Chordata; Mammalia; Rodentia; Muridae.
AUCUACAGCCAAGACACCUUGAACACACUGGGUCUUAUCUGAUCUGCGAAGCCAUGCAGUGUCAGGCCUGGUUAGUGCUUGAAUGGGAAACCUUCUGGGAAUAGUGUAGGUACUGUAGGCC